UAUUAUACUUAAUUGAAAUUUUGUUUAAGCUUGAGUAGUAAUCAGUUAUGUUCUUGAAACUUAAAGGAUUUGGCGGUAUCUUAGUCUAGUUAGAGGAACCUGUUUUAUAAACGAUAAACCACGAAAUAUCUUACUUUCUUUAGUAAAAUCAGUUUGUAUACCGUCAUUAUUAGAUAAUCUUUAUAAAGAGUUAUUGGAAUAGAGUUUUACUAAAAUAUUAGAUCAAGGUGCAGCCAAUGGGAGAGAAAGUAAUGGGUUACAAUGUUAUUUAGUAUAUACGGAGAGGAGAUAGAAUAUUUCCUGGAAGGUGGAUUUAAUAGUAAUUGUAUUUUAAUAAGGAACAAUGAUAUUAGCUCUAUGAUAU
Molecule: ribosomal RNA, 364 nt
Filed under: Acanthephyra curtirostris
Lineage: Eukaryota; Metazoa; Arthropoda; Malacostraca; Decapoda; Oplophoridae
Description: partial 12S ribosomal RNA
Source: RNAcentral